UUUCCGUAGGUGAACCUGCGGAAGGAUCAUUACUGAGUGAGGGCCCCUCGGGGUCCAACCUCCCACCCGUGUUUAACGAACCUUGUUGCUUCGGCGGGCCCGCCUCACGGCCGCCGGGGGGCAUUUGCCCCGGGCCCGCGCCCGCCGAAGCCACCUGUGAACGCUGUCUGAAGUAUGCAGUCUGAGACAAUUAUUAAAUUAAUUAAAACUUUCAACAACGGAUCUCUUGGUUCCG
RNAcentral lists this unclassified non-coding RNA (235 nucleotides) under plant metagenome. RNAcentral describes it as "partial contains small subunit ribosomal RNA, internal transcribed spacer 1, and 5.8S ribosomal RNA". The record is from RNAcentral.